CUGUUGUACAUCUGGAGCAUCAAAGCAAAGAUGGCGCGAGCUAACUAACAAAGAUCAAAUUUGGAAUUCGGUACCGUGACGAUUCCGAAAAAUCGAAGCGAUACGACUGAGCAAUUGUCAAUUUUCCUUGUAUCUGGAUUUGGCGCUAAGAAAAAGGAUAUCGACGAGCGGCGCGCUUUCGACGCAAACUGUUAUAAGUGAAGCGAAUAGUGCCCCUUAAUUUGGAUCUCAGGUCAACUGUAGCUAUUUCUCAAGGACGAGGCUCACAACAUCUAAACAAUUCCGGCCAUGCUGACUGUUUUCGUCUUCAGUCCGUGUGCGGAACAAAUUCACAUCACCGUUGACACGCGCAUGGGCACAAUGCAGCUUCAAAACAUGACAGUUACGAUGCGGGAAUCGUUAACCUUUUUAUUCCCUGCUGAUCAUCCGACCCAAAAAGGCCCCUUAUUUCGAUCGUCGAGCUCAAAGCAUACAUACAUAUAGACAUAGUAAAAUUAUGGGGAUUGGUGAAGGACAGCCAAUCGCCGGAUUAAGAUCAACAACACGCAUCCACUAACAGUUCAACGAGUCAUCUAGGGGCCGACUCCCUACCACCAGGUAGUUACCAGAUCGGAUAAUUGCCAGCAGAACAUCGUAACCACUACGAAGAUUACAGGAUGCUAGAAAUGUUCAUGGUUUAUGAACUGAUCAAGUUUAGCACCUACGCUGUGACUCAUGUUGGUGUAUUUAUUUAAAUACUAUUUAAUAAAUCAAUAAAACAUAUUUUUAUU
Long non-coding RNA from Armigeres subalbatus, 770 nucleotides. RefSeq lists it as uncharacterized. NCBI's taxonomy places the organism in Eukaryota, Metazoa, Arthropoda, Insecta, Diptera, Culicidae. The record is from RefSeq and is a predicted model, not a curated record. The transcript is spliced from 2 exons.